RNAcentral lists this ribosomal RNA (464 nucleotides) under uncultured bacterium. RNAcentral describes it as "bacterial SSU rRNA". It matches the Rfam family "Bacterial small subunit ribosomal RNA", at positions 338 to 795 of the family's 1533-position model. The record is from RNAcentral.
CCUACGGGCUGCAGCAGUGGGGAAUAUUGCACAAUGGGCGCAAGCCUGAUGCAGCCAUGCCGCGUGUAUGAAGAAGGCCUUCGGGUUGUAAAGUACUUUCAGCGGGGAGGAAGGCGAUAAGGUUAAUAACCUUGUCGAUUGAGGUUACCGCAGAAGAAGCACCGGCUAACUUCGUGCCAGCAGCCGCGGUAAUACGGAGGGUGCAAGCGUUAAUCGGAAUUACUGGGCGUAAAGCGCACGCAGGCGGUCUGUCAAGUCGGAUGUGAAAUCCCCGGGCUCAACCUGGGAACUGCGUUCGAAACUGGCAGGCUAGAGUCUUGUAGAGGGGGGUAGAAUUCCAGGUGUAGCGGUGAAAUGCGUAGAGAUCUGGAGGAAUACCGGUGGCGAAGGCGGCCCCCUGGACAAAGACUGACGCUCAGGUGCGAAAGCGUGGGGAGCAAACAGGAUUAGAUACCCGAGUAGUC